AGUGAUGUUAAUAUUCAGACGAAAGAGAUUUUCGCCUCAAAUACAGAUCAGCCACUUGGGCAGCUGUGGCGGGGUAUGUGUUAAGCGAGGUGCAGCUCCUCA
This 102-nucleotide long non-coding RNA is filed under the name Chinchilla lanigera (long-tailed chinchilla). Its description in RNAcentral is "lncRNA (ENSCLAG00000028791.1)". Lineage: Eukaryota; Metazoa; Chordata; Mammalia; Rodentia; Chinchillidae. The record is from RNAcentral.